GACUACCGGGGUAUCUAAUCCUGUUUGCUACCCACGCUUUCGUGCAUGAGCGUCAGUAUCGACCCAGGGGGCUGCCUUCGCCAUUGGUGUUCCUCCACAUCUCUACGCAUUUCACUGCUACACGUGGAAUUCCACCCCCCUCUGCCGUACUCUAGUGAGACAGUCACAAACGCAGUUCCCAGGUUGAGCCCGGGGAUUUCACGCCUGUCUUAUCAAACCGCCUGCGCACGCUUUACGCCCAGUAAUUCCGAUUAACGCUCGCACCCUACGUAUUACCGCGGCUGCUGGCACGUAGUUAGCCGGUGCUUCUUAUUCCGGUACCAUCAUCCACACAGGGUAUUAACCCAUGCGAUUUUUUCCCGGCCGAAAGAGCUUUACAACCCGAAGGCCUUCUUCACUCACGCGGCAUGGCUGGAUCAGGGUUGCCCCCAUUGUCCAAAAUUCCCCACUGCAGCCACCCGUAGG
Molecule: ribosomal RNA, 465 nt
Filed under: uncultured Dechloromonas sp.
Lineage: Bacteria; Pseudomonadati; Pseudomonadota; Betaproteobacteria; Rhodocyclales; Azonexaceae
Description: partial 16S ribosomal RNA
Source: RNAcentral